GGGCGAUUAGCUCAGCUGGGAGAGCAACUGCCUUACAAGCAGUGGGUCGGCGGUUCGAUCCCGUCAUCGCCCA
RNAcentral lists this transfer RNA (73 nucleotides) under Spirochaetota bacterium. RNAcentral describes it as "Spirochaetes bacterium (freshwater metagenome) tRNA-Val". It matches the Rfam family "tRNA". Rfam says of the family: Transfer RNA (tRNA) molecules are approximately 80 nucleotides in length. Their secondary structure includes four short double-helical elements and three loops (D, anti-codon, and T loops). Lineage: Bacteria; Pseudomonadati; Spirochaetota. The record is from RNAcentral.